AUUGGUGACAGCGGAGGGAUCAUUACUGAGUUUACGCUCUAUAACCCUUUGUGAACAUACCUAUAACUGUUGCUUCGGCGGGUAGGGUCUCCGCGACCCUCCCGGCCUCCCGCCUCCGGGCGGGUCGGCGCCCGCCGGAGGAUAACCAAACUCUGAUUUAACGACGUUUCUUCUGAGUGGUACAAGCAAAUAAUCAAAACUUUUAACAACGGAUCUCUUGGUUCUGGCAUCGAUGAAGAACGCAGCGAAAUGCGAUAAGUAAUGUGAAUUGCAGAAUUCAGUGAAUCAUCGAAUCUUUGAACGCACAUUGCGCCCGCCAGCAUUCUGGCGGGCAUGCCUGUUCGAGCGUCAUUUCAACCCUCAAGCUCUGCUUGGUGUUGGGGCCCUACAGCUGAUGUAGGCCCUCAAAGGUAGUGGCGGACCCUCCCGGAGCCUCCUUUGCGUAGUAACUUUACGUCUCGCACUGGGAUCCGGAGGGACUCUUGCCGUAAAACCCCCCAAUUUUCCAAAGGUUGACCUCGGAUCAGGUAGGAAUACCCGCUGAACUUAAGCAUAUCAUAAAACCCGAGAGAAA
RNAcentral lists this ribosomal RNA (574 nucleotides) under Colletotrichum gloeosporioides. Its description in RNAcentral is "eukaryotic LSU rRNA". The stretch from base 198 to 351 matches the Rfam family "5.8S ribosomal RNA". Lineage: Eukaryota; Fungi; Ascomycota; Sordariomycetes; Glomerellales; Glomerellaceae. The record is from RNAcentral.